Molecule: transfer RNA, 66 nt
Organism: Lupinus angustifolius (narrow-leaved blue lupine)
Lineage: Eukaryota; Viridiplantae; Streptophyta; Magnoliopsida; Fabales; Fabaceae
Rfam family: tRNA
About the family: Transfer RNA (tRNA) molecules are approximately 80 nucleotides in length. Their secondary structure includes four short double-helical elements and three loops (D, anti-codon, and T loops).
Source: Rfam
GGGGUCUAAUGGUAUGAUUCUCGCUUUGGGUGUGAGAGGUCCCGAGUUCGAUUCUCGGAAUGCCCC